UCUAGUGAUAAUGGCAAAGAGGUCACACCCGUUCCCAUCCCGAACACGGAAGUUAAGCUCUUUCGCGCCGAUGGUAGUUGGGGGCUUCCCCCUGUGAGAGUAGGACAUCGCUAGGC
Molecule: non-coding RNA, 116 nt
Organism: Lysinibacillus macroides
Lineage: Bacteria; Bacillati; Bacillota; Bacilli; Caryophanales; Bacillaceae
Source: Rfam